This 495-nucleotide ribosomal RNA is filed under the name uncultured bacterium. Its description in RNAcentral is "partial 16S ribosomal RNA". It matches the Rfam family "Bacterial small subunit ribosomal RNA", at positions 28 to 507 of the family's 1533-position model. The record is from RNAcentral.
GACGAACGCUGGCGGCGUGCCUAAUACAUGCAAGUAGAACGCUGAAGGAGGAGCUUGCUCUUCUGGAUGAGUUGCGAACGGGUGAGUAACGCGUAGGUAACCUGCCUGGUAGCGGGGGAUAACUAUUGGAAACGAUAGCUAAUACCGCAUAACAGUAGAUGUUGCAUGACAUUUACUUAAAAGGUGCAAUUGCAUCACUACCAGUUGGACCUUCGUUGUAUUAGCUAGUUGGUGGGGUAACGGCUCACUAAGGCGACGAUACAUAGCCGACCUGAGAGGGUGGUCGGCCACACUGGGAGUGAGACACGGCCCAGACGCCUUCGGGAGGGAGCAAUAAGGAAACUUCGGCAAUGGACGGAAGUCUGACCGAGCAACGCCGCGUGAGGGAAGAAGGUUUUCGGAUCGGAAAGCUCGGUUGUAAGGGAAGAACGAGUGUGAGAGUGGAAAGUUCACACUGUGACGGUAUCUUACCAGAAAGGGACGGCUAACUACGUG